GGACUACCCGGGUAUCUAAUCCCGUUUGCUCCCCUGGCUUUCGUGCCUCAGUGUCAGGUUCUGUCCAGUGACUCGCUUUCGCCUCUGGUGUUCCUCUCGAUAUCUACGCAUUUCACUGCUACACCGAGAAUUCCAGUCACCUCUCCAGACCUCCAGCGAUGCAGUUUCGAAUGCCAUUCCGGAGUUAGGCUCCGGGAUUUCACACCCGACUUGCAUCACCACCUACGCACCCUUUACGCCCAAUAAAUCCGAACAACGCUUGGCACCUCUGUAUUACCGCGGCUGCUGGCAC
RNAcentral lists this ribosomal RNA (292 nucleotides) under uncultured bacterium. RNAcentral's name for it is "partial 16S ribosomal RNA". The record is from RNAcentral. RNAcentral also lists the same sequence under 1 other name.